UCGGGGUACGUGUGGAUUCGCGAAGUUC
Molecule: small RNA, 28 nt
Filed under: Bombyx mori (domestic silkworm)
Lineage: Eukaryota; Metazoa; Arthropoda; Insecta; Lepidoptera; Bombycidae
Description: piRNA piR-bmo-1983426
Source: RNAcentral